RNAcentral lists this ribosomal RNA (181 nucleotides) under uncultured bacterium. RNAcentral's name for it is "partial 16S ribosomal RNA". It matches the Rfam family "Bacterial small subunit ribosomal RNA", at positions 1320 to 1500 of the family's 1533-position model. The record is from RNAcentral.
AUGAAGUUGGAAUCGCUAGUAAUCGCGGAUCAGAAUGCCGCGGUGAAUACGUUCCCGGGUCUUGUACACACCGCCCGUCACACCAUGGGAGUCGGAAAUGCCCGAAGUCGGUGACCCAACCGCAAGGAGGGAGCCGCCGAAGGCAGGUCCGGUAACUGGGGUGAAGUCGUAACAAGGUACC